AAGUAAACGAAUCGUAAAAAAAAGGAUUUUAAGGUUUUGAACCUUGAAUCUAUUGACAUGAAUGACAUAACCAACUAGACUACGCUUGGUUUUGCUAUCUAUUGUGCUAGUAAUAUUUAAUAUUAGAACAUAAAACAACUAAGUACGGAUAAAUGGACCCAAAUUCUUCAUACAAUUCACCUUUAAGCGUUCCUAUUCCUAUCCCUUCCUACCUCUCCCGUCUCAGGUGCCGCCGCCGCCCACUCGUCCCCAUCCCCCCAAACCUCCAGCUCCCCACCUCCCCCGCUCGCUCCAUUCUAGGAGCUACCAUACCGACGAUGGCUCCCAACUCUGCUCCUCUCAGAUCUCCCUCCACAUCUCACCUUCUCCCCCUUCCUCUCCUGGCAACGCCUUGAUCCUGCCCCCAAGAUCUCCUAGCCACUGUGUCCGCCCCCACGCUCGUUGCCCAGAUCCGGUAGCCCCUCCAUGCUCGUCCGCCCCUUUCUCGCUCUCUCCCCGGUCGGCUCGCUCCCGCUUGCAACCCCCACACCCCGUUUUGCUCCAGAGACAGUUCGCAGGUCCUCCUCACGGCGAAGCGCAGGUGAGCGCAGGUUCGGCCAACGGCCCCCGACCCGAUCGCAGGUCCUCACGGCGAAGCGCAGAGCCGAGUCGGACAUCACGACCACGACCAUGAGGCGUCGUCGUAGAGCAAUCAGAGCCGUUUUUGUUGCCCCUCCCGGUUAGAGGUCCCACACUUUUCCUUGUCCGGUGAUGAGAACUAAGCUACCUACUAUUCUCUCCAAUAUGAUGAGGAUAAAUGUCUCCAAUUUGUACAAACUACCAAUCCGGACAAGAAAUCUAAUCCACGGUGCUCCAAUCGACUGGCCUCUGAUAAUGGAGUCUAGAGUGUUUGAGUUUGAGGACUUAGGUAUAAGGAUGCAUUUUCAGCUACAUUUACGAACAUCUUGUUCUUUUUUGUAAUGCAUCUACCUUAUUUCUCUUUACGAAUUCCCACUCAAUUUAUUAUGCAGUUAACACUACCACUUUACGAUGGAUUCCUAGCCUAAUCCUUAAAUUUCAUUCUAAUCACCAUGCCUUUUAGAUCUAGGCAUUAGACUUGUAUUGUUGGAUCUGUUUAAUUGUUUCUCAUGCAACAAAAUGAGAUGAAGAUACACACGAGUCUGAGUUUACAGUGUUUGAGUUCAAGGACUUCGAUAAGGAUGCAUUUUCAACUGUAUUUAUGAACGUCUCUUUUUUUGGUAAUGCAUCUACCUUAUUUCCCUUUAUGAAUUGCCACUAAAUUUAGAUAAGCUCUCUACUCCAUGGUGGUCAAAACAGCUGGCCUCUAGUAAUGGAGCUUAGUGUGUUUCAGUUUGAGGACUUCGGUAAGGCUGCAUUUUUAACUAUAUUUACAAACAUCUGGUUUUAUUUUUGUAAUGCAUCUACCUUAUUUCCCUUUGUAAAUUCCCACUCAAUUUAUGAUGUGAUUAACACUACUAUUAUACGAUUGAUUCCUAGCUGAAUCCUUAAAUGGAUUACUGAUUUCACAGAUGAUGGGUGUGCUAUUGAUGGAAUAACCCAAGAUUAGGCCUAUGUUUUUAUUACAUUAUUAGUUUUUGUGCAUUGUAAAUUGUUGCAGCUCUGAGAUGAUAUAACAUUUUCGAGUUCUUGAGCAUGAUGUAUCUGAUGAUGGUAUGUUUAGUGUUGUGAAGGGAAGACGGUGUUUGUUUUCCUUUCUAAUUUAAAUUCAUAGAUACCCAGGGGCAGAGCCAGGAUUGGGUUAGAGCCCAGGGCUGAGUUAGUUAAAACAUGCUGCAAUUCAUUUUAGUUUCAAUAUUGUGCAGUUUCUUAAGUUGUCUUCCAUGUAAUUUUAGGCCUAAAACCAGGGCUGGAGCCUGGAUAUCCUAGGUCGUGGCUCCACCUAAUGGAGAUACAUUAUGAUUCAAUACAUGAGCAUCUUGUCUGAAAUCGUUUAGACCAAACACCAUAGUUCUAUCUGGGCUUAGUGGCCGUGGCAAAACCACUAUUUACUACCAGCUUCGGGAUGGAUCAUCACAUCAAGGAACUGUUACUUCAAUGGAAGAAAACAGUAAUACUUUUGUGCUGCAUUCGGAGCAAGAAAGGAAAGACAAAGUAAAACCUGUGCAUAUUAUUGAUGUUCCUGGUCAUGCUAGGCUCAAACCCAAACUUGAUGAAGUCCUGCCUAAAACUGCUGCGGUUGUCUUUGUUGUUGAUGCUCAAGAUUUCUUGUCUAGCAUUUGGUGUCUAUUUCUAUUUCAUCUACUUUCACUUUCAUGUGCAUUCGCUAUUUAGAUGUUCAAUAAGCUUCACACUCUAAACCCAAACUUGAUCCGAUUGCUGGUCGAGCCCCGCCCUCGCUGCCGCGCUUCGCUCCGGCUAUGCAGCGGCGUGAGCACCGACCACACUCGCGAAUGGGGAACUUAUAUUGUUUAAAUGUUUUGAGUAGUUAGUCACAGUUAUUUUGAUAGUGUCAUGACAAGGCUAGUAAUGUCAACCAAUUCACAUCAGAUAGUCGGUUUCUAUGACCUAUUGAUUAAAUGUUUUGAGUAGUUAGUCACAGUUAUAUUAAUGCCAGCUUAUAUUGUUUUUCCUCAUAAAAGGCAUGUAUGUUUACUGUGUUAUCAUAUGCCCACAUCGAUUGCUCUUCACUAAAACGUUUUAGGAUAAUCUAGGAAAAUUGAUUUCUGGAGCUGAUUCUUCGACAUCAACAAUCCAGCAGUGCUAGAUUUUUUGCCAAAGAUGGCAAUUGUUACUGCCUAUAGCUGUCUGUAGGUUCUCUUGUCAAUCUUUAGAGAUGACCGGGCAAUAAUUUUCAAUAGACGCUGAAGUGAAUGUCUCUUCUGGGUAGUGAUUGUUGUUAUUUAUAUGGGCCUUAGAUAUAUCGGUGCAAUCUUAUUCACCAUUGGAAUAAUAUGAGACUUAUGUUCGGUGUUUUCUUUUUACUCUUCUUGUUUAAUCUUUACCAAAGGCCCAGUCGCACUCCCCUAUCCUUAAUUCGGUAUGUUUUAUUUUUAAACUAAUGGCAUACAGGUACAUUUUAGCUACAACUGCAAUGAAAUUCAUGUUGCCUCUAGACUAUAGCAUUGUUCAGCUUCACCUUGACUAAAUAAGAAUAAAUAUAUUAUCUGUCACCAAAACUUCACAUGAACUGCUAUCCUGUAUUAUCUGGUGGAAAUAUGAAGGUUUCUUUAUUUCUCUUCUUAAACAGCAAGAGAAGAAGGAAGACAAGUCAGACAAAA
Molecule: long non-coding RNA, 3239 nt
Organism: Zea mays
Lineage: Eukaryota; Viridiplantae; Streptophyta; Magnoliopsida; Poales; Poaceae
Exons: 5
Source: RefSeq, a predicted model, not a curated record